Long non-coding RNA from Telopea speciosissima, 163 nucleotides. RefSeq lists it as uncharacterized. The record is from RefSeq and is a predicted model, not a curated record. Lineage: Eukaryota; Viridiplantae; Streptophyta; Magnoliopsida; Proteales; Proteaceae. The transcript has 3 exons.
CAAACUUUGAAAUCUGAAGUUUUCAUCCAGUCAAAAUAAGGCACACAAAGAGUAACAGCAAUAGACCUUCAUCCUUGAGCACUGAAAAGGAAAUAUAUAUUCCUGGGCAAAUACACCAUCCUACUACAGAGGACCACUUCCAAAAGAUAGACCAAUAUACAGG